Molecule: long non-coding RNA, 6624 nt
Organism: Alligator sinensis (Chinese alligator)
Lineage: Eukaryota; Metazoa; Chordata; Crocodylia; Alligatoridae
Exons: 2
Source: RefSeq, a predicted model, not a curated record
CUGCUGGCUGCAGCUUUGAUCAUUAUUAUUUUAGAUGACUUAAGACCUGAGAAGUCCCAUUGGACUUGUUCAUCUCAGUAAAGAGUUAAAAUUCUCCUAGCCAUUUUAGGUGGGGUCGUGCAAGAGAAAAGCAAAGAGGAAAUCCAAUUCUUCAAACUAAGAGUGAAAACAAACUGAAGGGAAAUUAAAACCCCCAAACCCCUCCAAAAGGUGGGAAAAGAAACAAAAGCCCCUCCUCACAAAUUGGUAGUCGCUACAUGAUGCUGCUAUUGAUAGAUUGGAUUUAAUCGAUAACUCCAUCAAUGCAUACAUUAAUACUGCAAUGAUUAGUAUAACAUUAAAAAAAAACAGUUUCUGGUCGGGUAGAUACAAAAAAGAAACUCAAAUAUAGUUUGCUAUAACCCUCUCUGUUCUUAAAAGAGAAUGCAGAGAUCCGAAAAAUUUCCAGAGACAAACAAGGCAACAAAUGCUUUCCCCUGCAGUUACUCAUAUAUUCCAAUCAACUAACUCAAUUCUUUAAUAAUUAGUGAAUCCGGACUGUUCUGACGAUUCAGUAGAACAUAAAAAAACUAAGCAUCGAUAUUUUAUUUGGAGGAAGGAAAUGAAAGGCAGAUAAUGCUAACUCGGCACAGAUGUCCAACAAGUUAUAUAAAAAAUAACUGAAAAAUAAUAUGAGUUUAAAAAAAGAAAUCCGGGCCCCAUCCAAGCCCCUGGAAUUUAAUGGGAGUCUCCCUUUUUAUUUCCACAAGCUCAGAAUCAGGCCCUUUGUUUCUGCAGGAAACAGGCUUCAACUUUUAACUCCCAAAGUUUUCCUUCUGGGAUCAAAAUGUUUUCCACUUCUGACAUUUAGUAGCAUGGACCUGUGAGGUUUUGGGCAGAGCUGGAAUAGAGAAAAAGAACGCUAAUAAGUAAUCUGAAUUAAGGACUGCCUUUGAUUUAUUCACUUUUUCUGGCAAGGCCACCGUUUGUUAUUAGAGACUUGAACCAUCUCAGCAUUUUUCUUAUCAGGAAUAUAUCUUCUGGGGUUACUGAGGUUUUUGACAUUUUCUUUUAACCUCAUCAAGUGGAAGUUGAGAUACAUGCUUAAAAAAAAAACAAAACAGCCAAUUUUAGCACCACUUACUUGAAUACGUGAGGAGCUUUGCACUCACCAGUCACAUAUUUCAUAUUUUCGAAUGUAACAAAUGGACAAGUUCAAAAAUACAUUUAUGUAUGUGUAAGCAUGCAUGCAUUCAUGUAGGUGCAUAUAGAUGUAUCUAGGUCUGUCUUUUAAGUAUUUAUGCAUUUCUUAUGUCUUUUAGGAUACCUCUACACAUUUUAUAAAUAGGAGAGCAGGCACAGAAUAGGGAGGAUGAAAUCUGGGUUUGCAUUUGAAGGUGUUGGAGUUUGUACUUCUCAAGCAGGGGUACAUAAUGCUCCCAGGGGUAUGUGUUCAUCUUCUAGAGCGUACGUGAGAGGAAGGCAUAGGAAAGCAAAAGAAAGAAAAGGGAUAAGCUAAAGGGAGAAUAAAGAAAAUCUUGAAGAGCAACUCUUCAAUAUUUCUUAGGUGGUCGGAAAGGUAACAGUGUGGCUGAAGGGACAUGAAAUAUUACUUCUUUAUUAUCCGUCACAUGAAAAAUCUGAAGGGCACAGACAAAUUAAUUUAACUAGCCUCAAAAGAGAUACCCCCCCACCCCCAAAAAAAAGGUUAAGAACCACUGUUGCAGAUCAAUAGCAUACGGUCAUUGCAAACUUCUCUCGCUGCAUGUGAGCCACUACGUUUUUCUACAAGCUUGUCUCACACACAUACACACAUACAUAAUCACAGACUUUGGUCUGUAAUUGGUUAAAAAUUGAUUGGGGGUGGAAAGGGAGGAGGAUAAUUAUCUGCGACUGGCUGGAUGCCUACUAGAAUCUAGGUCUGAAGUUUAUCCCCUUUUUUUUCAUACCAAAGAUCAUGUACAUAGGGCACAACAUUGUGAUGUUCGGUGGCACGGAGUGGGGAGCAAUCAGAAGCCUUGCAUAUUAGUUUGUAUAUAUAGAUAAUAUUUAUUACGCCAGAUAGUAAGUGUUUGCAGGAUCAGACAGGCAGACAGACAGACAGGAAAAAAAAGUGGCAACAAUCCUCCUCCCACACUUAUGCUGAGAAAAUCAUUUCUGACACAGAAGUUCUCACCGUCGCUCUCCUGGUAAGGGUGGGAAGGUGAAUUUGUCAAUAAUGACAAUUGCACAAGAAUAUGUCUAUAAUAUCUCUGUUUCGCUCAGCAUGAUGAUCCCGUCGCCAGAUGUGAGCCAGCCCUGUUAUGUGACCCAGUUCUGGGUACCUGGAGUCCUUAAGUAAUGGCAUUGAAAAUAUCCUUUGUGUGUUUCAAUGGCACCAAGACUAUCCUUUGGAUUGAAAAUAGCAAUCCCAAACCUGCACGAUCUCAUUUUAAGUGCCCCCCACCUUGACAUGUGAAAAUAUAGGGGCGCCUGUGUGUGUCUGGGUGUAUUGCACGUGUGAAACCAGUAACACCGCUCCAGAGUUGCUUGUAUUUGGGUGCCUGAGUGAAUAUCACCUCCAGUGUGGAAGUCAAGGGAGAUUCUUAGCCACUGAUCUAUCUGUCCGUCCACCUUUCCCUCUGUCUAGCCAUCCAUCCCUUCUUCCAGCUGGAAGGGCAGCCUCUCCAGCGUGCACCCAGCAGCUGCGUCCCAGGGAACAGGGGGAUGCUGGUUGGCAUCUCACACUGUUGACAGGUUUCUGCAGGAAGGAGGACUUAAACCAGAAGCACUCUCCACCGUGGGCCCACGAAUGGAAAAGUACCCGUGCCAUCCCAAUGCACAUUCUUGGGCUCUGAGUGAGACGACGCAGGCUGCCUUCAGAGCUGGUUCAGUGCGGUCAGGUGUACCGAGGGCGGUAUAAGAGCCAGGCCCCGGCAUGCCAAUCAAGUUUUUCCACUUCCAGCCCUUUCACCAGAGGUAAGGACCCAGCCAGAUCACAAACAUUCCAAUUAAAGUUCAAAAUAAUAAUGAUAAUGAACAUAACAAUAGCCCCCGCCUUCCUCACUGGAGCUAACAAGCAUUUGGGUCUUCCUCCCUUGUUCUUCUCUAAGCCCAGCUGCCUCUUCUCCUGGCACCGAAGGGAAAAUAUUGUUCUGUAUGCAAGGACCUGAAAAGAAAAAGCAGCAGCAAUGGGGGGGCCAUUUAUUUAGCUCCUGGAAGCUGGUUGCAAGGUAAAGCUUCUGGGAGCAGGAAGGCUGCUUUGUGGCCUGCCCUUUGCAAUAAAAAAAAUACAGAGAUUUCAAAUAUUUAAGAGACUCAAGUAAAACUAGCGUGGGAUGAAAGCAGGGUGUUGAGGCUGCUUGCUCGGUGAAGUUCAAUCAUGACACGUCUGUUCGCUAAGGAUCUCAGCUCCGGGCCAUCACCUUUAGCCCUUUAAGAGUGCUAGCUUAUAAUCUACCUCCAACUUCUAGCCUCGGUGCAAAAAGAGGGACGAACUAGGAGGAACAGGCACGCAUGCACAGACAGCAGGCAAAUGCAAAGUGGUAAACUAAACUACUUUGUUAUGAUGAUGCAAAAAAAAAAAAAAAUGAAGUCGCGAUCAUGUGAUUUUAUGCAAAUCGAGUGAAUGGACGGUUAAAAACUAAAUGUCAGGUAGAUAAGAUCACAUACACCUAGAGCAGCGUCAUGAUAUUCUCUGCACGUUACAUUCAUACUGGAAACCAAACCGUGUUACAGAAAUCAGACACCCACAAAAGGGCUCAGAGAUUGCACUGAAAACAGGUUUCUGCAAAGCACCAGCCUCUGACAAAAAAAAAAGUAGGUUAGAUGAGAAAACAAGAUAGCGCGAGCGAGCCAGGGAAUACACUGUCCCUGAGCAGUGUGCAAUCCCACCGUAUUAUAUAAGUUUACAUGCACAAAACUGCCUUGAAAUAACAUUUAUGAUCCAGCCCAAAGCUCUUAAAAAGGCAGGUGUUCCAGGGUUUGGCUGAUAAUCCAUCUUGAACUGCUGGGAGCAAGGAGUCGUAUAGGAAACGUCUUUUCUUAAAGGAACAUUUGUUUCAGGGGGGAGAACAGAAUUCCCUGUGCUGACGGGGCUAUUAGACUUCAUGAUCUCAAUCUACGUUCAGGACCACGGGAGAUGCAAAGGUCCCGACCUGCUGUCCUCUACACUUGCUUCAAACCUCGCUCUUAUUGAUCCAAGACAUUGUGAAAGGAGCUGUGCCGGCCUGUCACAUACACUGAAUACUAGGAUAUGGCGCUGCAGAAUUUGGGCUUCUGUGUCACACACAGAUAUGGAGAAGGAUAUAGCGAGGGCGGCUCUACAUGGAGAGCAAAGGGAGGCGAGGUCUGACAGCCAGGGCCCAGACUGGGGAGCAGAUGCACGUGCAAAGCAGGUCCACGUCCACUGCCUAGCUGCUUGCAUUUUUCUACCCUGUCAACCCUCCCAUUGCAAGGAGCACUUUCCUUUUAAAAAUGAAGCCAGUUUCUGAGCUAAAAGGAGCAACGCAACCUAUUCUACCGCAGCACAACUUUCUCGCCUUCUCGCAGGCUGCGACUAGAAACCCGGCCUGGGAUUUUCAUAUUGCCUGCAGAGCCAGGGCAUGGAAGGCCUUGUUUUACUCUGCAGUGCCUCCCCGGCCAACGUAGGCGUUGCAAGAAUGGGCUCUGAAGGGAAUUUCAUGUUGCCCUUCCUAUGCUGGAUAUUAUAGUCCCUGUAUAUCCUCACGAGUCCCAGUUCAGUGUAUGGAGAGGAAGCUCCAGUGGUGAUGAACAGAGGUUUAGGUGCAUAAGAACCACGUGUUCAAGGCAUAGCAGCUGGGCGAGGGUGAAGUGAAAGCAUGGAAAAGCACAGGAUCGCAUAGAGAGGAGGAAGAUCAUACAGGCACCCCAAGGGGGAAAAAAAUAAUGGAUAUAAUCUACCCAGUGCUUCCAGGCUUGGCACCUGAACACCAGUUCCCAGCCCAAAGUGAAUGCUCAGGGCUGAUUUAUAAGUCCCUGUAAACAGGGGGUUUAUAAUGGAAACUCUGAUGCAACCCUAACAUUUGGCAGUGUAAAGGCAUACCAAGAUCUCUGCUCUGCGAGGUGCCAAUUUUAACAGCCGUCCUGAUAAAUCAUCAAUCGGACAAAAAAAUCUUCUCCGCUUCCCAACUUUCUGCAAACAUUGCCUUCAGCCGCUCAAUUGAUGCAGCCACCGUAGAAGACUCAGGCUGUCCAAAGGGGGGAGCAGGGAGGGGAUCUUUAAAAAAAUGAAUUAAUAAAGGCACGCUAAAAAAAUAAAAGCUAGCUUGGCAUUAUACUUCUUGUAUUAUUUGUUACUGAGUCCGCUUAUAUGACACCAAUAAUUUUGCUAAAGUGGAUAAACAAGCUUUCUAUGUCCCCGAGAGCUUAGAGUCUAAUAAGUAAAAGCUAUGCUCACUCUGAAUUAUAUAUAUUACUUUCCAGCUACAAAGGGAAAUGUCUUUAAAGCUCGUCUGCAUCAUCUCAAGUAUCAUCUUAGCCUGAUUCCUACUCCUUACUGGGCUAUUUUUAAUGACAGAUGCGGGCUAUCGGUUACAAGGCUUUCCUCCUAUUUUGUUUUAAGACAGUGCUGAGUAUUUCAGUCUGGGCACUUUGCUGAGAAAUUUAAAAAAAAAAAAAAAAACAACCCUCAGGAAAUGUUCAAUAACUUUGCAUUUAGGCUGCAGAUUUCUUGGAAUUCUUGGUAAUUUAAUCAGUCGCUCUAAGCAAUUUGAUUAGCCGGAGCUAGGGCACGGUGACCCCGCGGUGGUGAUUCUUGUAAACUAAUUUCUAUUAAUUGGAAUAAACCUGAAAUGCUAUCGGAGGCACAAGCCUUCCCCCCCACCCCUAUCCUCUCUGUCAUGCAGAAGAGGAAUUUGAAAUCCUUUUACCCCCCGGCCAUUCAGGCGGGGGGGAAAAAUAAUAAUAAUACAUGCAAAUUGAAACAGAAAUCUGCUGAGAUCUUUUAAAACACACCCACCCGAGCCAGGCCUGAGUGAAUACGCGGCACAAGUAAAUAUGCAAUUCAUUUGCUUUUUUAACACAGAUAUUUACAUAAAUGGUCAUUAGAAUAACACUUUGUCACUCUCCCUCCCUCCUCCCCCUGCCACACACCCGCAAAUCUAUUUGUAAGACCGUCUUUACAUUUUCCCUGCUGCCUGAAGCUUCCUCCAAUGGCCAAAGCAGGCCUUUGCAGCUCCCUCCCAAGAGCUCUGAACUAAACAUGGGCUCCAGCGACUCAAAAUCAGAAGUCUCCUACUUACAAGGAAAAUCAAACAUCUAUUUUGCAUACAAUCAUAGAUAAGACAUACUGUACAUCGCAGCUAUGGCACGACAGACGCUUUACCAUGUCCUUUGCAACCAGACAGCAGCUACAAAGAAUUAACCCACCACUUAAAAAGAGUCCCGGAAAGGGAGAAAGAGCACAAAAAAAAAAAAAAAAAAAAAGAAAAAGAAAAUAUAAUCCUCCGAGUGUGGGGGUUUGGUUUUUUUUCCAAGAGCAAGUAUAUUCCUCCCAUUAAAAAGCAAUGCCCAAAAAGGGGGGGGAAAAAUAAACCGUAUCUAUCAAGAAAAAAACCCAAAACAGCUUCUUUCCUCCUCAACAACAAAUCCCUUUAAGCAUGAGAGCCAGCCAGAGAUAGAAAUACAUACAUUAAAAAAAAAAAA